AACGAACGCUGGCGGCAUGCCUAACACAUGCAAGUCGAACGAGACCUUCGGGUCUAGUGGCGCACGGGUGCGUAACGCGUGGGAACCUGCCCUUAGGUUCGGAAUAACUCCCCGAAAGGGGUGCUAAUACCGGAUAAUUUCUUCGGACCAAAGAUUUAUCGCCUUUGGAUGGGCCCGCGUUGGAUUAGCUAGUUGGUAGGGUAAAAGCCUACCAAGGCGACGAUCCAUAGCUGGUCUGAGAGGAUGAUCAGCCACACUGGGACUGAGACACGGCCCAGACUCCUACGGGAGGGAGCAGUGGGGAAUAUUGGACAAUGGGCGAAAGCCUGAUCCAGCAAUGCCGCGUGAGUGAUGAAGGCCUUAGGGUUGUAAAGCUCUUUUACCCGGGAUGAUAAUGACAGUACCGGGAGAAUAAGCUCCGGCUAACUCCGUG
This 433-nucleotide ribosomal RNA is filed under the name uncultured bacterium. RNAcentral's name for it is "partial 16S ribosomal RNA". It matches the Rfam family "Bacterial small subunit ribosomal RNA", at positions 29 to 507 of the family's 1533-position model. The record is from RNAcentral.